Epinephelus lanceolatus (giant grouper) is the source of this 638-nucleotide non-coding RNA. The record is from RefSeq and is a predicted model, not a curated record. Lineage: Eukaryota; Metazoa; Chordata; Actinopteri; Perciformes; Serranidae.
AAGUUUACAUCACUUCCUGUGUAGACUGGAAGUUGGUGAACAGUGGUCAAGUUGAAGGCUAAAUAUUUGUAGCUGGAGCUCAUUUGUCAAUCUGGUGUCAUCUGGUCGUUCCUCCCAGCAGAAGCAUUGCUUUUUCACUCCUAAUACUCAACUAUAUGCACAUUGGGUGUGCAAUAAAAAACGGAGCUAGAAUGCUACAUCCUGACUCUUGAGUUGUUUGUAUGGAGUUUGGCUGGCUGUCUAGUUGAAGUUACAACACUUCAGCAAGGACAGUACACACGGGUGAGUCGUGGACCCUUGCUACGUUGCCAUGGUGUUCAGGAGUGCAUCUUGUUGGUGACGCAGCGGAUCUCCAAGUAUCCUGUCCUUGUUCAGCGCAUUCUGGACAACACUGAUGAUGAAGAAGAAGCCUCAUCUCUAGCCCAGGCUCUCUCCAUGGUCAGAGAACUUCUAAGUUCAAUAGACCAACAGAUGGAGGACCUGGAGAAAACACAGCGUCUACAAGAGAUCCAGGCCAAACUGGACCUGCGGGCUGAGGCCAGAGUUAGGGAUGGUGGACUUUUCAAGCCUGGAGAGUUGCUCCGCCGGAGACUUGUCCAUGAAGGGACCCUUUUCUGGAAAACCCCAGGAUCCCGGCU